Molecule: long non-coding RNA, 3204 nt
Organism: Lates calcarifer (barramundi perch)
Lineage: Eukaryota; Metazoa; Chordata; Actinopteri; Centropomidae
Exons: 3
Source: RefSeq, a predicted model, not a curated record
ACAUUAAGAUAUGUGUUUUUUUUAAUGUAUGAAUGUGUUUAAAAAUACACUGGUGGAUAAAAUGUAUAAAAAUAUUAGUCAUGAGCUUUAAAAAGAUUUAAAACUCGAAUAUUGUAGAUCAUGUAAAAGUGCGUAGUUUGUUGUUCAUGCGCUUGAGCCAGCAGGCGUACUCAGCCUGUCAAUCUAACUUGAUUAUCUGUGUACGUCAACAUUAGGUUUUCCGUACUUUGAUUGGAAUUCUAGCUAACAGCCAAUCAAAUCCCACUAUCAGGUAGAGGGGUGGGGCUUAGUCGCUAGCUUCGAGGUCACGGGCACUAGAGCAAAGCAGAAGUCAAUUAUCACCAUAGAUUUAACCGUGAAUACUGUAGAGAGCAAUAACGAGAUGGACUUUUUGACUGUCAGAGAGAGAGAGAGGAUCGGGGAAGAUCUCGCCCCCCACCUGCUGCUGUGCUGCUGUAGACUGUAGCUGCUGGUUCCUCUGCCGUCCAUCACCCCAGCUUCCCCUCGUCUACCUCUCUGAUUAAUCCCUGGAUUCAGCAGUUGGAGCUCUAAGUUGCAGAAGAAAAACAGCCCGAUUUGCAGACACCUUCCUCGAGUGCAGCGCUCCUGGGUCUGCAUCCGAAUACACAAAAACACAAGAGGCACAGACUGAAACAAAACAUCACCGAGAGCUCAGCACGAAGUGUCCGCAAAACAAGCGAAGGCGGCCGCUCAUAUACGCGGGGAGAAAGGAGGAGGAUCGAUUCAUCAUGUCUCUCGCAAUUUGCUGCUGUAAUAUUCUGCUCUAUUACUCAUCUGAUGUGAGAGUCCCUUCUCUCUCUCACUCUCUGUUUUAUCUCUCUGCCGCCUGCCUGGCUGCCUGCGGGGCUUUUCACCGGAUCGCUCGGAAAUGCCACUGACUGGCUCUGCUGCCUCGCAGUGGAGGCUAGCUGCCCCAAACUCCCAUCAGCCGGCCGCAGCUUCGUCCCCCGCGCCGGCCGAGAAUCGACCUCAGCCCGCAAGAAAUCCCCCCCGCCGCCCCCUCAGGCUUCGGGGACCGUCCCCCGUGCACCCGCGGAUUCUAAUAUCUGAAUAGUGAUACCACUGUCGGCAGCAACACCUAAAGGUGCAUUUAAAGAAGAGACGUGAAAAAGAAGGGGAAGAAGAAAGCGGAAAUUUCUAUAGUAGAGUCUAGAAGUAAUAAUAAAAAAGCAGCAACCCAAAUAAAAUGUUUUGGACUGCAGAAACACUAAGAUUUAAUUACCCAUCAUGCACUACAAUAAUGACAAUCCUAUGAGGUAAAUUCACGAGGCGAAUAUUACAUAUUAUAAUCACAUUUUUCUUUAGACAUCAGCAAAAUCCUGAGGGGAUGUGGUAAUUUAUUAAGUUUCCAAAACAAAUAAAUCUUCAGUUUUCCUUUUAAUAAGUUGAUGUAAAGAAUAGAAACUGUGACACAUGCUAAACAAAUGAACGCUUUCCAAUUAGAAAUGUGAUAUUUCUGUCUUAGAUGUCAGAAUUAGUUUACACAUUUUUUUCUUUGCUGUGUGCAAAGGUUAUGCAUGUAGAAAUGGUUCCCAAAGUGAGGUCCAGGGAACCUCCAGGUGUCCUUGAAAAAUUUCCAGGGGGUGCCUUGCAAACUGAGCACAGGUGAAUUUCACUUAAAUUACAUUUAAGCACAACAGGUGGAUGUGGAAGGAUGGAUGUUAGAGAUUUCAGUCAUCCACGGGAAAACAUAAUUCUCAGAUUAUCUGCGUUCAUUCAGAGGAGAAUUAAUGAAAUGCAAAUUUUUGGGAACCCUUCUGUUAUCGCACCAGGUUCUCAUAGCUCCUCACAGGCGCUUUAAAGCUUUAAAGAAUGUGAGAAAUGUCACAAUUUGGCAUUAUCAUAAAACCCUUUUAACGACCAGCUUCUUCCUCCUUUUGCACCUUUUUUCAAUCAUAAUUGCUCACCCAAAAAAAGGUUGCAAAGCAGGAGAUCGCACUUAACAAGGCAUCUGUACAAAUGAACUAAAAAGCACAAAGCAGAAAUCAUAGAUACACUUAUAUCGCAAUUAACUUAAGCCAGUUGGCUCCCCACAUAUAGGAUUGCAGUCAGUUUUAAUUGAAGACUAAUUCUGAAACAUUUAAACAUCAUAACUUGACUGAGAACUGUCUCUGUCUCAGGCUACUCUCCCUUUGGGGAAAUACACCUGCGGUGGGAUUGUACCUGCUCAGUUAAAUUUAUGCAUCUACAUUUGUAUAAAUUUCCUGUGAAAUGUGCGAGAUGAUCUGUUAUUGCUCACCUGCUCCUUCCCCCUCUGCUCUCGCGGGCUGCCUCAUCACUCUCAGUUUGAGAGCGAGAGUGAUUUGCUACAGCGAUCUGGGAAAUUAACAAAUGUUUUCACUGCUUGUUUUCUCACUCCACUGGCACAGGUUGAGGAGGUAUGAGGUCUCUAAACCACACUGACAAUAUUACCAGCAUGAUGACUAGGGUUCAUAUGGUGAAAUUCCCUGAAUAAAUUACUGUGCCCACUCUUUCUCUUAUCUGGUUAUGAGUACAGUUAUGACCUCAGUUUCUGGUAUUUGGGAUGGGUAUUUCUUCAAUGUAAACUUCCCAGAAAUCUGUUCUAUUAACAGUUUUUCUGUAAGCCUUGUGACAAAAUUAACUUAACCCUUAACAUGGCCAGGGGUUAAGGUUAUCGCUUCAUUGUGGUCACACGACAUGAGAAGCUGUAAUUUAGGAUUUCACCUUGACUGACGUGUUAGAGGAACAGACAUUAUGAAACAGUGACAGGUUCUUCAUAUCUUACAGAGAGCUUUUGAUGAGCUGUGUCUGUUGAUUAAAUUCACUCUAGCCGUUUGAUAAAACUGACAUGAUGCGGCAUGGGGCUAGUUGUUUCUAUUUACUGAAUGAAGGAGGCAGAUAAAAUCUGAUUCACCUGAAUACUGCUCCUCGAAUUUUACAUUUACUGUUAAAAGUCAAAGUCAAAAGUCAUCACAGACUCGUAAUUGUGGCAGAUAAGCAGGAAAUCCGACGCACUGGGAUGUUUUUGCUGUGUCAUCUUGAAGCAAACCUGCACCUACAGUACGAACUUUCCCCAGGGUUAACUCACUAAAUUAACAGCAAAUGACUGGAAAAUAUGAGAUAAACUGUAAAUAAAUCAAGCCUUUAAUGCAAGAACAUUUCAGAGAGACUCAAUAAUGAACUGCUGCAUUUCUUAGAGGACACACACACACACACACACGC